CCUACGGGUGGCUGCAGUGGGGAAUAUUGGACAAUGGGGGCAACCCUGAUCCAGCCAUGCCGCGUGUGUGAAGAAGGCCCUCGGGUUGUAAAGCACUUUCAGUGAGGAAGAACGCCUGGUGGUUAAUACCCAUCAGGAAAGACAUCACUCACAGAAGAAGCACCGGCUAACUCCGUGCCAGCAGCCGCGGUAAUACGGAGGGUGCGAGCGUUAAUCGGAAUUACUGGGCGUAAAGCGCGCGUAGGUGGCUUGAUAAGCCGGUUGUGAAAGCCCCGGGCUCAACCUGGGAACGGCAUCCGGAACUGUCAAGCUAGAGUGCAGGAGAGGAAGGUAGAAUUCCCGGUGUAGCGGUGAAAAGCGUAGAGAUCGGGAGGAAUACCAGUGGCGAAGGCGGCCUUCUGGACUGACACUGACACUGAGGUGCGAAAGCGUGGGUAGCAAACAGGAUUAGAUACCCGAGUAGUC
This 465-nucleotide ribosomal RNA is filed under the name Vreelandella stevensii. Its description in RNAcentral is "partial 16S ribosomal RNA". It matches the Rfam family "Bacterial small subunit ribosomal RNA", at positions 338 to 795 of the family's 1533-position model. Lineage: Bacteria; Pseudomonadati; Pseudomonadota; Gammaproteobacteria; Oceanospirillales; Halomonadaceae. The record is from RNAcentral.